ACGGGAGGCAGCAGUGGGGAAUAUUGGGCAAUGGGCGAAAGCCUGACCCAGCAACGCCGCGUGAAGGAAGAAGGUCUUCGGAUUGUAAACUUCUUUUAUGAGGGACGAAGGACGUGACGGUACCUCAUGAAUAAGCCACGGCUAACUACGUGCCAGCAGCCGCGGUAAUACGGAAGGUCCGGGCGUUAUCCGGAUUUAUUGGGUUUAAAGGGAGCGUAGGCCGUGCUUUAAGCGUGUUGUGAAAUGUAGGCGCCCAACGUCUGCACUGCAGCGCGAACUGGAGCACUUGAGUACGCAGGAAGUAGGCGGAAUUCGUCGUGUAGCGGUGAAAUGCUUAGAUAUGACGAAGAACUCCGAUUGGGAAGCCAGCUUACUGUAGCGCCACUGACGCUGAUGCUCGAAAGCGUGGGUAUCGAACAGGAUUAGAUACCCUGGUA
This 437-nucleotide ribosomal RNA is filed under the name uncultured Prevotella sp. RNAcentral describes it as "bacterial SSU rRNA". It matches the Rfam family "Bacterial small subunit ribosomal RNA", at positions 341 to 792 of the family's 1533-position model. Lineage: Bacteria; Pseudomonadati; Bacteroidota; Bacteroidia; Bacteroidales; Prevotellaceae. The record is from RNAcentral.